UUUUAUGAGAGUUUGAUCCUGGCUCAGGACGAACGCUGGCGGCGUGCCUAAUACAUGCAAGUCGAACGCUUCUUUUUCCACCGGAGCUUGCUCCACCGGAAAAAGAGGAGUGGCGAACGGGUGAGUAACACGUGGGUAACCUGCCCAUCAGAAGGGGAUAACACUUGGAAACAGGUGCUAAUACCGUAUAACAAUCAAAACCGCAUGGUUUUGAUUUGAAAGGCGCUUUCGGGUGUCGCUGAUGGAUGGACCCGCGGUGCAUUAGCUAGUUGGUGAGGUAACGGCUCACCAAGGCCACGAUGCAUAGCCGACCUGAGAGGGUGAUCGGCCACAUUGGGAC
This 340-nucleotide ribosomal RNA is filed under the name Enterococcus faecium. RNAcentral describes it as "bacterial SSU rRNA". It matches the Rfam family "Bacterial small subunit ribosomal RNA", at positions 1 to 319 of the family's 1533-position model. The record is from RNAcentral. Lineage: Bacteria; Bacillati; Bacillota; Bacilli; Lactobacillales; Enterococcaceae.